GGGAAAUUAGCUCAGUUGGUUUAGAGCACUGCCUCGACAAGGCAGGGGUCACAGGUUCGAGCCCUGUAUUUCCCA
RNAcentral lists this transfer RNA (75 nucleotides) under Olivibacter sp. SDN3. It matches the Rfam family "tRNA". Rfam says of the family: Transfer RNA (tRNA) molecules are approximately 80 nucleotides in length. Their secondary structure includes four short double-helical elements and three loops (D, anti-codon, and T loops). The record is from Rfam by way of RNAcentral. Lineage: Bacteria; Pseudomonadati; Bacteroidota; Sphingobacteriia; Sphingobacteriales; Sphingobacteriaceae.